Long non-coding RNA from Sarcophilus harrisii (Tasmanian devil), 259 nucleotides. RefSeq lists it as uncharacterized. NCBI's taxonomy places the organism in Eukaryota, Metazoa, Chordata, Mammalia, Dasyuromorphia, Dasyuridae. The record is from RefSeq and is a predicted model, not a curated record. The transcript is spliced from 3 exons.
UACAAAUAUGAUCUCAUUUUAGCUUCACAACAACCCUUCAAGGAUCAGAUGAUGGUGACUGGAUGUGACAGGUUGCCCUAUUCCUUUGGCAGCCACUAUGGAAAUAAACCCUCAAGAAGGAAUUUUUUCCCACAAGAUCAUUUUCAGAAAGGGUCCAGGCCUAAGUUGAGAAGGAGUGGUCUCAGCUUGUUGAGAAUUGGUGUACACGAACUGAUGCUGAGUGAAAUGAGCAGGACCAGGAGAUCAUUAUAUACUUCAA